RNAcentral lists this ribosomal RNA (465 nucleotides) under Vreelandella stevensii. RNAcentral describes it as "partial 16S ribosomal RNA". It matches the Rfam family "Bacterial small subunit ribosomal RNA", at positions 338 to 795 of the family's 1533-position model. The record is from RNAcentral. Lineage: Bacteria; Pseudomonadati; Pseudomonadota; Gammaproteobacteria; Oceanospirillales; Halomonadaceae.
CCUACGGGGGGCUGCAGUGGGGAAUAUUGGACAAUGGGCGAAAGCCUGAUCCAGCCAUGCCGCGUGUGUGAAGAAGGCCUUCGGGUUGUAAAGCACUUUCAGUGGGGAAGAAAGCCUUGGGGCUAAUACCCUCGAGGAAGGACAUCACCCACAGAAGAAGCACCGGCUAACUCCGUGCCAGCAGCCGCGGUAAUACGGAGGGUGCGAGCGUUAAUCGGAAUUACUGGGCGUAAAGCGCGCGUAGGCGGUCUGAUAAGCCGGUUGUGAAAGCCCCGGGCUCAACCUGGGAACGGCAUCCGGAACUGUCAGGCUAGGGUGCAGGAGAGGAAGGUAGAAUUCCCGGUGUAGCGGUGAAAUGCGUAGAGAUCGGGAGGAAUACCAGUGGCGAAGGCGGCCUUCUGGACUGACACUGACGCUGAGGUGCGAAAGCGUGGGUAGCAAACAGGAUUAGAUACCCCUGUAGUC